This 258-nucleotide ribosomal RNA is filed under the name uncultured bacterium. RNAcentral describes it as "partial 16S ribosomal RNA". It matches the Rfam family "Bacterial small subunit ribosomal RNA", at positions 795 to 1052 of the family's 1533-position model. The record is from RNAcentral.
CCACGCCGUAAACGAUGGGCACUAGGUGUGGGAGGUGUCGACUCCUCCCGUGCCGAAGCUAACGCAUUAAGUGCCCCGCCUGGGGAGUACGGCCGCAAGGCUAAAACUCAAAGGAAUUGACGGGGGCCCGCACAAGCAGCGGAGCAUGUGGUUUAAUUCGACGCAACGCGAAGAACCUUACCUGGGCUUGACAUGUAGGUGACAGGUGUGGAAACACAUCCUCCCUUCGGGGCACCUUCACAGGUGGUGCAUGGCUGU